GUGGGGAAUCUUAGACAAUGGGGGAAACCCUGAUCUAGCCAUGCCGCGUGAGCGAUGAAGGCCUUAGGGUUGUAAAGCUCUUUCAGCUGGGAAGAUAAUGACGGUACCAGCAGAAGAAGCCCCGGCUAACUCCGUGCCAGCAGCCGCGGUAAUACGGAGGGGGCUAGCGUUGUUCGGAAUUACUGGGCGUAAAGCGCACGUAGGCGGAUCAGAAAGUCAGAGGUGAAAUCCCAGGGCUCAACCUUGGAACUGCCUUUGAAACUCCUGGUCUUGAGGUCGAGAGAGGUGAGUGGAAUUCCGGGUGUAGAGGUGAAAUUCGUAGAUAUUCGGAGGAACACCAGUGGCGAAGACGGCUCACUGGCUCGAUACUGACGCUGAGGUGCGAAAGCGUGGGGAGCAAACAGGAUUAGAAACCCGUGUAGUCC
RNAcentral lists this ribosomal RNA (425 nucleotides) under uncultured bacterium. Its description in RNAcentral is "partial 16S ribosomal RNA". It matches the Rfam family "Bacterial small subunit ribosomal RNA", at positions 354 to 796 of the family's 1533-position model. The record is from RNAcentral.